This 586-nucleotide ribosomal RNA is filed under the name uncultured bacterium. RNAcentral's name for it is "bacterial SSU rRNA". It matches the Rfam family "Bacterial small subunit ribosomal RNA", at positions 338 to 916 of the family's 1533-position model. The record is from RNAcentral.
CCUACGGGAGGCAGCAGUGGGGAAUUUUGGACAAUGGGCGCAAGCCUGAUCCAGCAAUGCCGCGUGAGUGAAGAAGGCCUUCGGGUUGUAAAGCUCUUUUGUCAGGGAAGAAACGGUUGGGGCUAAUAUCCUCGGCUAAUGACGGUACCUGAAGAAUAAGCACCGGCUAACUACGUGCCAGCAGCCGCGGUAAUACGUAGGGUGCAAGCGUUAAUCGGAAUUACUGGGCGUAAAGCGUGCGCAGGCGGUUUUGUAAGUCUGUCGUGAAAGCCCCGGGCUUAACCUGGGAAUUGCGAUGGAGACUGCAAGGCUUGAAUCUGGCAGAGGGGGGUAGAAUUCCACGUGUAGCAGUGAAAUGCGUAGAGAUGUGGAGGAACACCGAUGGCGAAGGCAGCCCCCUGGGUCAAGAUUGACGCUCAUGCACGAAAGCGUGGGGAGCAAACAGGAUUAGAUACCCUGGUAGUCCACGCCCUAAACGAUGUCUACUAGUUGUCGGGUCUUAAUUGACUUGGUAACGCAGCUAACGCGUGAAGUAGACCGCCUGGGGAGUACGGUCGCAAGAUUAAAACUUAAAUGAAAUUGACGG